Molecule: long non-coding RNA, 427 nt
Filed under: Capsicum annuum
Lineage: Eukaryota; Viridiplantae; Streptophyta; Magnoliopsida; Solanales; Solanaceae
Description: long non-coding RNA (CANN_LNC017832)
Source: RNAcentral
GGGUCAACUAACUCUUUAAUAAGGUCUAUCAUUGAGUCCAUUCCUCCUUCAGCAAUAUUCCAGUCAAAUUUAAUACUUAAUAAUCUAACAGCAAUAGACAAAUGAGAAUGCGAACACCCGUCAAAUAAAAAAUGACUAGCAGCAUGCAAUUGUUCAUGGAAUUUGCCCGUUUCACUAUUAGGAACAUCCUCGACAUUUUCUCUAAAGUCGCCCUCGUGUUGCAUCUCAAAAGCAUCGUUCACCAUUUCUGCCAUCCUAGUAUCUUGAUAUUCAUUAUGCCCUACAGACCUACUACUUUCUCCAACAAUAAAGUUAUUUUGCGCAACAUCAUCAUGAAUACCACGCAAUCUUAAAAAGUCCUCGUGAAACCCCCUUCUAUAAAGAUGUUCCUUUGCAUCUUCUUCAUUUAAAAGAUUUAUACCAUCGC